UACGUAGGUGGCAAGCGUUGUCCGGAUUUACUGGGCGUAAAGGGCUUGUAGGCGGUUCGUUAAGUCUGGUGUGAAAUCUCCCGGCUCACCUGGGAGGGUUCAUCGGAUACUGGCGGACUUGAGGUAGGUAGAGGAAAGCAGAAUUCCUGGUGGAGCGGUGAAAUGCGUAGAUAUCAGGAGGAAUACCAGUGGCGAAGGCGGCUUUCUGGGCCUAUCCUGACGCUGAGGAGCGAAAGCGUGGGGAGCAAACGGG
RNAcentral lists this ribosomal RNA (253 nucleotides) under uncultured bacterium. Its description in RNAcentral is "partial 16S ribosomal RNA". It matches the Rfam family "Bacterial small subunit ribosomal RNA", at positions 524 to 776 of the family's 1533-position model. The record is from RNAcentral.